This 481-nucleotide ribosomal RNA is filed under the name uncultured bacterium. Its description in RNAcentral is "partial 16S ribosomal RNA". It matches the Rfam family "Bacterial small subunit ribosomal RNA", at positions 28 to 507 of the family's 1533-position model. The record is from RNAcentral.
GAUGAACGCUGGCGGCGUGCUUAACACAUGCAAGUCGAACGAAGUAUUUAGGACAGAUUACUUCGGUUUGAAGUUCUUUAUGACUGAGUGGCGGACGGGUGAGUAACGCGUGGGUAACCUGCCUUGUACUGGGGGAUAGCAGCUGGAAACGGCUGGUAAUACCGCAUAAGCGCACAAUGUUGCAUGACAUGGUGUGAAAAACUCCGGUGGUAUAAGAUGGACCCGCGUCUGAUUAGCUAGUUGGUGAGAUAACAGCCCACCAAGGCGACGAUCAGUAGCCGACCUGAGAGGGUGACCGGCCACAUUGGGACUGAGACACGGCCCAGACUCCUACGGGAGGCAGCAGUGGGGAAUAUUGCACAAUGGAGGAAACUCUGAUGCAGCGACGCCGCGUGAGUGAAGAAGUAAUUCGUUAUGUAAAGCUCUAUCAGCAGGGAAGAUAGUGACGGUACCUGACUAAGAAGCUCCGGCUAAAUACGUG